RNAcentral lists this unclassified non-coding RNA (304 nucleotides) under plant metagenome. RNAcentral's name for it is "partial contains 5.8S ribosomal RNA, internal transcribed spacer 2, and large subunit ribosomal RNA". The stretch from base 1 to 105 matches the Rfam family "5.8S ribosomal RNA", at positions 50 to 154 of the family's 154-position model. The record is from RNAcentral.
GAAAUGCGAUAAGUAGUGUGAAUUGCAGAAUUCAGUGAAUCAUCGAAUCUUUGAACGCACAUUGCGCCCUUUGGUAUUCCUUAGGGCAUGCCUGUUCGAGCGUCAUCUAAACCUUCAAGCCCUGCUUGGUGUUGGGUGCCUGUCCCGCCUCCGCGCGCGGACUCACCUCAAAUCCAUUGCGGCCCCCGCGUCGGCCACGAGCGCAGCAGAAACGCGAACUCGUGAGCCCGUCCGGGCGGCUCCCAGAAGCUACACCCACCCAGUUUGACCUCGGAUCAGGUAGGGAUACCCGCUGAACUUAAGC